RNAcentral lists this ribosomal RNA (483 nucleotides) under uncultured bacterium. RNAcentral's name for it is "bacterial SSU rRNA". It matches the Rfam family "Bacterial small subunit ribosomal RNA", at positions 56 to 527 of the family's 1533-position model. The record is from RNAcentral.
UGCAGUCGAACGGUAACGCGGAGAGCUUGCUCUCUGGCGACGAGUGGCGGACGGGUGAGUAACGCGUGGGAAUCUGCCUAGUAGUGGGGGACAACUCGAGGAAACUCGAGCUAAUACCGCAUACGCCCUACGGGGGAAAGCGGGGGAUCUUCGGACCUCGCGCUACUAGAUGAGCCCGCGUCGGAUUAGCUAGUUGGUGAGGUAAAAGCUCACCAAGGCGACGAUCCGUAGCUGGUCUGAGAGGACGAUCAGCCACACUGGGACUGAGACACGGCCCAGACUCCUACGGGGAGGCAGCAGUGGGGAAUAUUGGACAAUGGGGGAAACCCUGAUCCAGCAAUGCCGCGUGUGUGAAGAAAGCCUGCGGGUUGUAAAGCACUUUCAGUGAGGAAGAAAAGCCUGGGGAUAAUACCCCCGAGUCUUGACGUUACUCCCCAGAAGAAAGCACCCGGCUAACUCCGUGCCAGCAGCCGCGGUAAUACG